This 261-nucleotide ribosomal RNA is filed under the name uncultured bacterium. RNAcentral's name for it is "partial 16S ribosomal RNA". It matches the Rfam family "Bacterial small subunit ribosomal RNA", at positions 112 to 353 of the family's 1533-position model. The record is from RNAcentral.
AACACGUAAACAACCUGCCUUCAGGAUGGGGACAACAGACGGAAACGACUGCUAAUACCGAAUAAGUUCCAAGAGCCGCAUGGCCCAUGGAAGAAAAGGUGGCCUCUACCUGUAAGCUAUCGCCUGAAGAGGGGUUUGCGUCUGAUUAGCUGGUUGGAGGGGUAACGGGCCCACCAAGGCGACGAUCAGUAGCCGGUCUGAGAGGAUGAACGGCCACACUGGAACUGAGACACGGUCCAGACUCCUACGGGAGGCAGCAUG